RNAcentral lists this ribosomal RNA (263 nucleotides) under uncultured microorganism. RNAcentral's name for it is "partial 16S ribosomal RNA". It matches the Rfam family "Archaeal small subunit ribosomal RNA", at positions 330 to 592 of the family's 1478-position model. The record is from RNAcentral.
GUGCAGCAGGCGAGAAAACUUCACAAUGUGCGAAAGCACGAUGAGGGAAUCCCAAGUGCUUGCUCGUAAGAGUAAGCUGUUUCUCUGUCUAAAACGCAGAGAGAGUAAGGGCUGGGUAAGACGGGUGCCAGCCGCCGCGGGUAAUACCUGCAGCUCGAGUGGUGGCCUCUAUUAUUGGGGCCUAAAACGUCCGUAGCCGGUUUAUUAAAUGCCUGGGUAAAUCGGACCGCUUAACGGUUCGAAUUCCGGGUAGACUGAUAAAC